This 424-nucleotide ribosomal RNA is filed under the name uncultured Gammaproteobacteria bacterium. Its description in RNAcentral is "bacterial SSU rRNA". It matches the Rfam family "Bacterial small subunit ribosomal RNA", at positions 38 to 460 of the family's 1533-position model. The record is from RNAcentral. Lineage: Bacteria; Pseudomonadati; Pseudomonadota; Gammaproteobacteria.
GGCGGCAUGCCUAACACAUGCAAGUCGAACGGUAACAGACAAAGCUUGCUUUGUGCUGACGAGUGGCGAACGGGUGAGUAACGCGUAGGAAUUUGCCCUAAAGUGGGGGACAACCCGGGGAAACUCGGGCUAAUACCGCAUAUGCCCUUCGGGGUAAAGCUGGGGACCUUCGGGCCUGGCGCUUUAGGAGAAGCCUGCGUAAGAUUAGCUAGUUGGUAGGGUAAAGGCCUACCAAGGCGACGAUCUUUAGCGGGUCUGAGAGGAUGAUCAGCCACACUGGGACUGAGACACGGCCCAGACUCCUACGGGAGGCAGCAGUGGGGAAUAUUGGACAAUGGGGGAAACCCUGAUCCAGCAAUGCCGCGUGUGUGAAGAAGGCCUUAGGGUUGUNAAGCACUUUCAGUUGGGAGGAAUAUCCUGUCGU